RNAcentral lists this ribosomal RNA (455 nucleotides) under uncultured bacterium. RNAcentral describes it as "bacterial SSU rRNA". It matches the Rfam family "Bacterial small subunit ribosomal RNA", at positions 340 to 786 of the family's 1533-position model. The record is from RNAcentral.
UACGGAAGGCAGCAGUGGGGAAUAUUGCACAAUGGGCGAAAGCCUGAUGCAGCUAUGCCGCGUGUAUGAAGAAGGCCUUAGGGUUGUAAAGUACUUUCAUCGGGGAGGAAAAACAAAACUAAUAAUUUUAUUUCUUGACGUUACCCGAAAAAGAAGCACCGGCUAACUCCGUGCCAGCAGCCGCGGUAAUACGGAGGGUGCUAGCGUUAAUCAGAAUUACUGGGCGUAAAGAGCACGUAGGUGGUUUUUUAAGUCAGAUGUGAAAUCCCUGGGCUUAACCUAGGAACUGCAUUUUUGAAACUGAAAUACUAGAGUAUCGUAGAGGGAGGUAGAAUUCUAGGUGUAGCGGUGAAAUGCGUAGAUAUCUGGAGGAAUACCUGUGGCGAAAGCGGCCUCCUAAACGAAUACUGACACUGAGGUGCGAAAGCGUGGGGAGCAAACAGGGAUUAGAUACC